GAAUAACAUUUGUGCCCGGGUGCCCUUGGCUAAAGCCAAGGGAAAAGGGAACCAGGUGCAAAAUCCUGGACGGUCGGGCCACUGUAAAUGGGUAGCGGUUUACCAAAAAAGCCACUGGGGAAACCCCCGGGAAGGCGGUAAGCAAGCGAUGAUCCGUGAGUCAGGAAACCUGCCCGGGCAUAUAUUGGUGC
RNAcentral lists this non-coding RNA (191 nucleotides) under Peptococcaceae bacterium SCADC1_2_3. Lineage: Bacteria; Bacillati; Bacillota; Clostridia; Eubacteriales; Peptococcaceae. The record is from RNAcentral. RNAcentral also lists the same sequence under 1 other name.